CUAGAGGCGAACCUGGCGACAGGGCGGCCUCGCGUCGACUCUGACUUCUCUCCCCGCCCCCGCGGGUCCCCAGCUACUUCAAAAUGACGCUGGACGUGGGGCCGGAGGAUGAGCUGCCCGACUGGGCUGCGGCCAAGGAGUUUUACCAGAAGUACGACCCUAAGGACGUCAUUGGCAGGGGACAUGGGUUCGAUCCCUGGUCCAGGAAGAUCCCAUAUGCUGCAGAGCAACGAAGCCCAUGCACCACAACUACUGAGCCUUCAUUCUAGAGCCCGUGAGCCACAACUGCUGAGCCCACGUGCCACAACUACUGAA
Long non-coding RNA from Physeter macrocephalus (sperm whale), 315 nucleotides. RefSeq lists it as uncharacterized. NCBI's taxonomy places the organism in Eukaryota, Metazoa, Chordata, Mammalia, Artiodactyla, Physeteridae. The record is from RefSeq and is a predicted model, not a curated record. The transcript is spliced from 3 exons.